GAUGAACGCUGGCGGCGUGCCUAAUACAUGCAAGUCGAGCGAACAGACGAGUAGCUUGCUCCUCUGACGUUAGCGGCGGACGGGUUAGUAACACGUGGAUAACCUACCUAUAAGACUGGGAUAACUUCGGGAAACCGUAGCUAAUACCGGAUAAUAUAUUGAACCGCAUGGUUCAAUAGUUAAAGACGGUUUUGCUGUCACUUAUAGAUGGAUCCGCGCCGCAUUAGCUAGUUGGUAAGGUAACGGCUUACCAAGGCAACGAUGCGUAGCCGACCUGAGAGGGUGAUCGGCCACACUGGAACUGAGACACGGUCCAGACUCCUACGGGAGGCAGCAGUAGGGAAUCUUCCGCAAAGGGCGAAAGCCUGACGGAGCAACGCCGCGUGAGUGAUGAAGGUCUUCGGAUCGUAAAACUCUGUUAUUAGGGAAGAACAAAUGUGUAAGUAACUAUGCACGUCUUGACGGUACUUAAUCAGAAAGCCACGGCUAACUACGUG
Molecule: ribosomal RNA, 497 nt
Filed under: uncultured bacterium
Lineage: Bacteria
Description: partial 16S ribosomal RNA
Rfam family: Bacterial small subunit ribosomal RNA
Source: RNAcentral